Molecule: unclassified non-coding RNA, 314 nt
Filed under: uncultured fungus
Lineage: Eukaryota; Fungi
Description: partial contains small subunit ribosomal RNA, internal transcribed spacer 1, and 5.8S ribosomal RNA
Rfam family: Eukaryotic small subunit ribosomal RNA (bases 1-73)
Source: RNAcentral
UCAAACUUGGUCAUUUAGAGGAAGUAAAAGUCGUAACAAGGUUUCCGUAGGUGAACCUGCGGAAGGAUCAUUAACGUAUCCGAGGCGUGGCGCGCGGUUCCCAGCUCCGGCCCAAACGGCCGUGCAGCGGGAGCCCGCCCCGUCCAACCUCACAAACCACCGUGAACCUUUACGGCGGAAGGAGGGGCGACCCUCUGGAAGCCGCAUACCAAACCCCAGUUUGUAAAGAAUGUCGUGCGGACUAGCGCCGCCUAAACAACGUAACAACUUUCAACAACGGAUCUCUUGGCUCUCGCAUCGAUGAAGAACGCAGC